UUUUUUUUUUGCGGUACAUGAGCCUCUCACUGUUGUGGCCUCUCCCAUUGCGGAGCACAGGCUCCAGACGCGCAGGCCCAGCGGCCAUGGCUCACGGGCCUAGCCGCUCCGCGGCAUGUGGGAUCCUCCCGGACCGGGGCACAAACCCGUGUCCCCUGCAUCGGCAGGCGGACUCUCAACCACUGCGCCACCAGGGAAGCCCAUUUAAUGGCAUUUUGUAUACUCAUAAUGUCAUAUAACCAUCAUCUCUAUUUAAUUCCAAAACAUUUUCAGCACCCUAAAGGAAACACCAUAUCUAUUAAGCAGUCACUCUGCAUUCCUCUCCUCCUCCAGCCCCUGGCAACCACUGAUCUGCUUUCUGUCCCUGGAUUUUCCUGUUCUGGAUAUUUCAUAUAAAUGGUAUCACAUAAAUGAUAUGUAUGUCUAGUUUCUUUCACUUAGUAUAGUGUUUUAAAAUUUCAUCCAUGUUGUCACAUGUAUCCGUAUUUCAUUCCUUUUUAUGGCUAAAUAAUGUUUCCUUGUAUACAUAGGCCACAGUUUGUUUAUCCACUCAUCGGAUGAUGGACAUUUGGGUUUUCAGCUUUUGGCUGUUGUGAACAGUGUUACAGUGAACAUUCAUUUACACGUUUUUGUUUGAAUAUCUGUUCAGUUUUGGUGGGAUUUAGUGGAAUUGCUGGGUUACAUUGUAAUUCUGUUUAACUUUUUGAGGAAUUGCCAAACUGUUUUCCACAGCAACUGAAUAAUUUUACAUUACUACCAGCAAUAUAGGAAGUUUCUAACCUCUCCACAUCCUCAGCAAAACCUUUUUUUUUUUUUUCAUUUUAACCAGCCUAGUGGAUGAACUGGUAUCUCAUUGUGGUUUUGAUUUGCAUUUCUUUAAUGACACUGAUGAGCUUCUUUUCAUGUGUUUGUUGUCCAUUUGUAUAUCUUUUUGGGAGAACUAUCUGUUCAAGUCCUUUGCCCAUUUUCAAAGUUUGUCUUUUUGUUGUUGAGUUGUAAGAGUUAUUUAUUCUGGCCCUUAUGGGACAUAUUAUCUACAGAUAUUUUGUCCCAUUCUGUUAGGUUGUCUUUUCACUUUCUUCAUAGUGUUCUUUGCACAAAAGUCCAAUUUAUCUACGUUUGAACUCAUUCCCAAAUUCAUGGUAAUGAAAAUUUAUCCCUAUGUUUUCUUCUAACAGUUCCAGAAUUUUAGCUAUUACAUUUAGGUCUUUGAUCCAUUUUGCAUGAAUUUUUGUAUAUGGUGUGAAAUAGGAGUCCAACUUCAUUCUUUUGCAUGUCGAUAUCCAGUUAUGCCAGCACCAUUUGUAGACAAUUAUUUCUUCUCUAAUCUUGUUUUGAUUCAACCCAUACAUUAUCUUUCUUGGCCACAAAGAUAUCUAUGUAAGCUAUCACUUGCUUUGCUCAAACCAUGAUAUAGAAGUUCUGUUGCAAUCUUUUAAUUUCCUAGUCUCUAGUACAUUUUUCUAAAAAGUAGUGAGGUAAUUUAUACUAAAUUUUUAAAAUUUAUUUUUAGUAGUGAUAUAGUAGCUUUUGUUCUAAACUGCGUUUGUUUAUGGGCUCAAAAACUCUACAUUCUAAAGACUUUUUAGUAUUGUGCUGGAAACUAAUAACAGUUUUACCCAUCUCAUUUCUCCCCUUUUUGGACAUAGUACAGUUUGCCUUUCACAGUUAUUCUGGCUCUUACAAUUCUCCAUGAUUUCGCAAAAUUGCUGACUCUCAUAUUUUUCCUUCUUUCAGUACUCUGAGAUGUAAUUAUUCAGGCCUUGAAACUUUAAACUACUUUAAUGUAGUUUGGAAUUAUCUCAUCUGUCUUAAUUUUCAAUUUUGUCUUAAUGAUGUUGUUUUUCUUUUUGCAGUUUUAUGGACAAGAUAGAGCAGUAGCUGUUGAACAGUAAUCUUGCUUUUUCUCUAAAAUCUAUUCUGAGCAUUCGAUCUCUCUCUUCUCAUUCUUCUUUAGACAUAUAUGGCUUUCAGAAGCCCUUUUUGUUCUUUUUACAGAUCUCAUUCCUGUUUGCCACUUUCUUUUUGUAUUUAUUUUAGGUUUAUUUAUUUUGCCACAUCAGAGAAAACCUUGCUUCCUUUUUUUUUAAUGCAUCCCUUCUUUUCUUUCUCAUUAUAAACAUAUGCUGUUAGAAUACUUAUUUUCAGGCCUUACAACUCUGUUGAUCCCUAUUUUGUGUUUUGAUUUUAAUCAUGUAUCAGUUUUUUCUUUUUGUUAUCUUCUGGAAAUUUUUAAAGUUGAGGCCAAAUGAGUUUUCUUCCUUUGCUAUUCAGAAGAGUCAAAUUCCUCCCAAGUGGCUUUUGGGGUGAGGGUGUUUUUCACUAGUCAGAAAAUAGCACUUUUAACAAUUAAAUCAAGACAUUACUGAAUACUUUGGUUUUAUUAGGGGACUUUUAGUAGUAAAUGUAUUGAUAAUUGGAUUUCUUGUCACUACUGCAUCUUGCCUUUUUAUUGGUUUUGGAAAUAGAACAUUAUCCUUAUAUUCUUUGUGGCCUGUUGGUUUUAUAAUAUACCUCCACAGUGCUCUUAUGUUCUAUGUUGUGUUUCUGCCUUUAGGUUUGUGGAUUUUUGUAAGUGUCUAAAUCUUGAUACCUCCAUUAGUGAAUGAGAUUUUUCUUUUUAUUUCCCUAUUUGUGUUGUAAGUUUUUCUUUUUUAAACAGUCUUUGAUGUAUCAUUAGUGCUGUCAAGUAGAACUUGUAGUUAUGGAAAUGUUCUAUAAGCUGCACUAUACAGUACAGAAGCCACUAGUCACAUGUGGCUAUUAAGCACAUGAAAUGUGGCCAGCACAGCUGAUAAACUGAAUUUUUAAUUUUAUUUAAUUUUAAUAAAUAGCCACAUCUGAUUACCGUAUUGGACAAGGCAGCCUCAGAUAACAUUUAUAUUCUUGCUUUUAAAAACUGUCUUGAUUAACAAGCCUCUUGCAAAGAUGUUCUUUUCAGUCUUUGUAAAAUGCAUCAAGGCCCUUAAUGCGGUAUUAUAAACCAUGGUAAAGAACAUGUUUUGUUUCGUUUUUUUUGGCUGCGCUGCUCUCGGCUUUCGGGAUCUUAGUUCCCGUACCAGGGAUUGAACCCGGGCCCAGGCAGUGAAAGUGCUGAGUCCUAACCACUGGACCGCCAGGGAAUUCCCAAAA
This is a non-coding RNA of Kogia breviceps (pygmy sperm whale), 3132 nucleotides long. The record is from RefSeq and is a predicted model, not a curated record. Lineage: Eukaryota; Metazoa; Chordata; Mammalia; Artiodactyla; Physeteridae.